RNAcentral lists this transfer RNA (75 nucleotides) under Klebsiella pneumoniae. RNAcentral's name for it is "tRNA-Lys(ttt)". It matches the Rfam family "tRNA". Rfam says of the family: Transfer RNA (tRNA) molecules are approximately 80 nucleotides in length. Their secondary structure includes four short double-helical elements and three loops (D, anti-codon, and T loops). The record is from RNAcentral. Lineage: Bacteria; Pseudomonadati; Pseudomonadota; Gammaproteobacteria; Enterobacterales; Enterobacteriaceae.
CGGGUCGUUAGCUCAGUUGGUAGAGCAGUUGACUUUUAAUCAAUUGGUCGCAGGUUCGAAUCCUGCACGACCNNN